AUUUAUGUCACGAAAUAUAAAGUCCCAAACACUAUCUUCUGAAUGACAAUAACGGAUUGUUUAAAAAUAAAAUCUUGCCUCGGGAGGGGAAAUUACAAAUAAGGUCCAGUAUUUAACCCAUACUGCAAGACUAAUACAGAAGUGUUUUCAUGCAGAAAUAGUGAUUUCUCUACAUACCUCAAAACAGAAUGCACGUGUCGUGGUUGAUUAUAUAUUUCC
Pelobates cultripes (western spadefoot toad) is the source of this 219-nucleotide non-coding RNA. Lineage: Eukaryota; Metazoa; Chordata; Amphibia; Anura; Pelobatidae. The record is from the annotation of a GenBank genome assembly.